This is a non-coding RNA of Cinara cedri, 245 nucleotides long. The record is from the annotation of a GenBank genome assembly. Lineage: Eukaryota; Metazoa; Arthropoda; Insecta; Hemiptera; Aphididae.
AACGGAUAAUACUGAAACAUCAAUUAUACGCUUAAACGUCACUUUUGUGUCUAAAUAAAUAUUAAAUUAACUCACUAUUGGGCACCACGUUUGUCCAAACAUAAUAAAGCGAUGCGAAACGCGAUUUCUUUAGCACAUAUGUCCUUGUGAAUAUUAUAACCGUCUGAACACGCCUAAAAAACUAAUAACUACUAUUGUCCGUCAACGUGUUAGGAUACGGGAAAAACUAACAUUUCGUUGUCACU